Non-coding RNA from Camelina sativa (false flax), 475 nucleotides. The record is from RefSeq and is a predicted model, not a curated record. Lineage: Eukaryota; Viridiplantae; Streptophyta; Magnoliopsida; Brassicales; Brassicaceae.
UAUUACAAGAGAGAAGAAUACAUUGAGUGUAAAACAAAAACAGAGAGAGAGACAAAAAACAGAGUAAUAUCUGUUGUUGUCCGAUCCUAAACACUUUGAGAGUUCAAAGUCUCACAGAAUGAUGAGUCUGGUUAUACACACGACAUCGAACUUUAUGCUAGAUUGGGACUUCACUGUUACAAUCUUCAGAAGGGUACAAACCUCAGAUUUCUUGACAUUCCCAAAUACAAUACUGAGGGCACUAGGUUGUUUUCUGGGUACUACAUAACCUCGGAGGCCGUAGACACAUAUAACAACAACUCUGCAUGCACUUUUCAAACGUAUGUGCGGCAUGGUCGUGAAAUUCCAGAUAAUGGAUACUUUAUGGUGCAGACAGAACUUUCUAGACUAAAAGUUCCUACUGGCCCUCGGGCUACUCCUAUUGAGCAUGAGAGGAGAUGGGAAGAUGAAGUGAUAGAUGAUUUCUACAAAGGUG